RNAcentral lists this ribosomal RNA (253 nucleotides) under uncultured prokaryote. Its description in RNAcentral is "partial 16S ribosomal RNA". It matches the Rfam family "Bacterial small subunit ribosomal RNA", at positions 525 to 777 of the family's 1533-position model. The record is from RNAcentral.
ACGUAGGGUGCGAGCGUUGUCCGGAAUUAUUGGGCGUAAAGAGCUUGUAGGCGGUUUGUCGCGUCUGCUGUGAAAUCCCGAGGCUCAACCUCGGGCCUGCAGUGGGUACGGGCAGACUAGAGUGCGGUAGGGGAGAUUGGAAUUCCUGGUGUAGCGGUGGAAUGCGCAGAUAUCAGGAGGAACACCGAUGGCGAAGGCAGAUCUCUGGGCCGUAACUGACGCUGAGGAGCGAAAGGGUGGGGAGCAAACAGGA